AAGGCUAGCACCAUUUACAUGCCCUGAUCCAGGGUUUCCCCCAUCCCCGUACAAAUGGCGGGAUGAAGUGGUUGGGAUUGUCGCCGGCGCCUGUAGUGGGCUGCUUCGGCGGGUGCAUAUGACAACAAACGCGAUCGCUGGGAUGACACGUGAUCGAUGAAUGCCACACACUGUGGGUCCGAGACACAGCCCGUUCGCUCCCUCUCGUGUGGGGGUGGGAGACGCCCCGUGCGGGGUGGGGGUGUGUGCUCACGUUGUGUGGGGUGUGGUGUUGAUCGGUGGAUAAUGGUGCAU
Molecule: unclassified non-coding RNA, 294 nt
Filed under: Mycolicibacterium mucogenicum
Lineage: Bacteria; Bacillati; Actinomycetota; Actinomycetes; Mycobacteriales; Mycobacteriaceae
Description: partial 16S-23S ribosomal RNA intergenic spacer
Source: RNAcentral